AACCUUUAUAAUGAAAGAUAGAAUGAUGGGGUAACGCCCUGAAAUAUCUUGCCUAAUACUCCGAUAUGCGUUUCACAGCCUAAAAUGUGAAAGGUAUAAAGUUCGGUGAAGUCAGUUGAAAGAGUACCUAAGUUAAACUAAGUAGUCGAGUAUAAUUGGUACAAAAGUGGUUAGAACCCGCCUGUUAGAAAAACUACCGAAAUAAUAUGGGAAAUGAUAGACUGGGGCUCUAUAA
Molecule: non-coding RNA, 235 nt
Filed under: uncultured Eubacterium sp.
Lineage: Bacteria; Bacillati; Bacillota; Clostridia; Eubacteriales; Eubacteriaceae
Source: RNAcentral